Long non-coding RNA from Daphnia pulex (common water flea), 2409 nucleotides. RefSeq lists it as uncharacterized. The transcript is spliced from 4 exons. The record is from RefSeq and is a predicted model, not a curated record. NCBI's taxonomy places the organism in Eukaryota, Metazoa, Arthropoda, Branchiopoda, Diplostraca, Daphniidae.
UCCAGACCAUAUCCAUAUUUCCUUUCCAUUCCAGGCUUCCGUUUUCUCGUGUCCAGCCGUUAGUGGUUAGUCCCGUUCCCGUAGUCCAACUCUGCGACUCAGUGUCGUUUUGAUUACUUCACCUCGGUCUCUCUCUGUUAGAAAUUUAGUUAUUAGGAUUAGUAACUUAGCGUGGUGUUUAAUUAAUUGAAAUGAUUGUAAUAAUCCGUUCAGCGUCCACUUAAAGCUCUUUGUUUCUCGAUUGUCGAAUCGCAAUACCCUGUGUUAUCCAACGCUCCCCUUUCACACCUUGACACCUAACACGUGCUUCAAUUGAAGCAGUUAAGUGGAAGUGUAUGCUAAAGCAUUCCAGAUAACAUCAGUCGAAGAGAAAAGUGGUAUAGAUGAAUUUGCUGCAAUGGAUUUAAAUCUCUACAUGCUGAAGUGGACUUGUUUGACAGUAUUGCAUUUGUCUAUGCUUACUAGGGAUUCCCAAUGAAGAACAAGAACCUGAUGGGAUUAAAUGAAGCAUUUUGUAUCAGUCCCAUCCCGAUUUCAUGAAGCUUCAACUUUUGCCCUUAAUAGCAGGAAUCUGGUUUCUGGAUCUGUCGUUCACAUGUAACAGGUAUAAUCAAAUCAAUCUUUUUGAUCGGGGGCCAAUAGGGACAACCUUUUUGAAGAGCUGCCUAUAAUUCGAAAAGUGAGUAUGAUUUUGUAAACUAGAUGUCGCUAUCGUCUGGCAGUUUCAAACUUAGCGACUAGGUGGCGUGGCGUGUCAUACGAUUUGUUGUCAUGAAACGUUUGGUUGUUCUAAUUCUAUUUAUUGGGGAUUCAAUUAACUGGCGCAACUUAUUAAAUUUUUACGCUACUUAUUUACAGUAAGCUACAUUGUUGACUUUAUGGCUGAGGUAAUGAUCAGUUUAUCAUUUUAACUUAUAUUAGGUGAACAUGAACAGUUAAAGGAAAAGUACCAUCAACCCUUUUUGUUUUCUAAAAGAUUCACUCAAAAGAUGCAGGAAAGCACCACACCACAUUAAUUUUGAAAUAUUAAUGUCUUCUUUUUUUAAUUUAUUAAAACAGGUGGAUCUGAUCAUCUCUCAUGGUUAACAGCUGCCUGAUCAAGCCUUUCUAAUAAUCUUACAGUCAUUAUACAGGCUAAGAAGACCAGUAUUAUUAUUCUGUUUUCGUUGAAAUGUAAGAAUUGUGUCUGUAGAGUCAUAAUUUAAUAAUUUAUGUUCUGUUAACAGAUGAAUUUUUAGUAGAGGAAGUAAGCAAUCGAUAGUCAUCCUCAUCACAUCAUUUGUGAUGUGUCUUGUCUUCUGGAUGGACUAGGAAAUCUGAGUGGUGUUAUCAUUUGAAAUGAUGACCUGCGGUUAUGUUCUAUGCGGUUCCUCUUGGUCUUAUGAUCAACUAAUUAAAAUGUACAACGGAUCGAGGUUAGGAAGAGAUUAGUCAGAACCGUAAUCCUUCAAAAGGGGCGGCGGUUUGGCUGUACAAAUGUUAUCUGUUGAUGCAAUGAAAGAAUAAGUAAGUAGCUCUAAUUCAUGGGUCAUUUUGCAGUCAGGUCAUCUUGCAGUCAGGUUAUAAAUUAUAUUCAAACGUAUAAUUCAAAUUUAUGGGUGAUUCACAACUUAUUGACAAUACCUUACAUUGUUGGGUUGGAUAAUGUUCUAUCUAUUAUUUUAACUUGGGGGAGGGCAGAAAAGCUCCCGCGUUGUUCUGAACGUCUCACACUCACUCAAAUUAUGCUGUUAACAAUGGUCUCUAGCUAUUACUUUAGUGCUGAAAUUGGUAGUGACAUAUUUGUGUAUAUAGUUUCAACACGAUUAUCUGUUUGUAGCUGCAGUUCGUUGAUCACUUAACAUGUUUUUCUACAGCCAUUAAAUCUAGCCUAAGCAGACCAGCAUUAUUUAUAUUCCAGAGAGUGAUCACAAUGUGCAGUAGUUCUGCAGCCUGUUUCCAGUUCAGGCUGUUGCAUGCCGUCGGUGGAUCUGGUGUUAUCCUGGAUUGUGUUGAUCUGGUUGCGGCCAAAUGGUGAAUAUGUCAUCAAAUCAAGUUCAGUUGUUGCACGGAGUUUGUGGUACCGGUGUUAUCCUGGAGUAUGUUUUGACAAACUUUGUUUUGCAUGUUUGUGAAUGGAGUUUUCUCCUCGUCAUUUAACUUUUUUUUUUACUGUCGUCUGUUUUGUGUGUAAUAAAAGAUAAUUUGUGUUUUGACGAGGAUAGGAGGGGACGAGGGGUUCUUGUCGAACGGAAAAUUGAAGGUUUAAGAUUUUAGGAAAAUUGCCCACCUGAUUUGUGCAAGUGGACAGUAAAACACGAAGUUUAUUACACUUGUGAUUCAAUUCCAGCUAAAACCGCCUUGUUCAAAUUGUAAUUAUCACUUUAACAGCAUGUUGCUGUCGUGUGAUACAUUCAGGAAGAAUUCUUA